RNAcentral lists this ribosomal RNA (509 nucleotides) under uncultured bacterium. RNAcentral's name for it is "bacterial SSU rRNA". It matches the Rfam family "Bacterial small subunit ribosomal RNA", at positions 1000 to 1509 of the family's 1533-position model. The record is from RNAcentral.
CCAGAGAUGGAUUGGUGCCUUCGGGAACUCUGAGACAGGUGCUGCAUGGCUGUCGUCAGCUCGUGUUGUGAAAUGUUGGGUUAAGUCCCGCAACGAGCGCAACCCUUAUCCUUUGUUGCCAGCGGUUCGGCCGGGAACUCAAAGGAGACUGCCAGUGAUAAACUGGAGGAAGGUGGGGAUGACGUCAAGUCAUCAUGGCCCUUACGAGUAGGGCUACACACGUGCUACAAUGGCGUAUACAAAGAGAAGCGACCUCGCGAGAGCAAGCGGAUCUCAUAAAGUACGUCGUAGUCCGGAUUGGAGUCUGCAACUCGACUCCAUGAAGUCGGAAUCGCUAGUAAUCGUGGAUCAGAAUGCUACGGUGAAUACGUUCCCGGGCCUUGUACACACCGCCCGUCACACCAUGGGAGUGGGUUGCAAAAGAAGUAGGUAGCUUAACCUUCGGGAGGGCGCUUACCACUUUGUGAUUCAUGACUGGGGUGAAGUCGUAACAAGGUAGGCGUAGAUGA